Molecule: small RNA, 530 nt
Filed under: Pan troglodytes (chimpanzee)
Lineage: Eukaryota; Metazoa; Chordata; Mammalia; Primates; Hominidae
Description: processed transcript
Source: RNAcentral
GAAAAGCCCAUCUUUUCCCUUAAUACCGUUGCAAGUGCUGAUUGAUACAUUCAGAUUUCUUCAGUAAUCAAAUGACUAAGUUGGAAUUACUGCACAGACAGCAUGAGUAUCUAUGACGAUAUUGAUGCUGACGUGCUGCAAAAUUACCAAGAAUACAAUCUGGCCAACAUCAUCUACUACUCUCUGAAGGAGUCCACCACUAGUGAGCAGAGUGCCAGGAUGACAGCCAUGGACAAUGCCAGCAAGAAUGCUUCUGAGAUGAUUGACAAAUUGACAUUGACAUUCAACCGUACCCGCCAAGCUGUCAUCACAAAAGAGUUGAUUGAAAUUAUCUCUGGUGCUGCAGCUCUGGAUUAAUGAAAAUCAAGUUCCAUCCUCAGACAAGAGGUAAAGAAGGAAAAUUCAGCCAGUUGAUUUUGUUUUUAGCUUACUGCUGCCUUUGUCCGAAGAAACUGUUCCUCCAUUAUUUGAAUUACUGAAGACAGCAAGAUAUUUGUAAAUUAUCUUAAAAUAAACAACUUAAAAUAAAA